CGGGGCUAAUACCGGAUAACAUUUUGAACCGCAUGGUUCGAAAUUGAAAGGCGGCUUCGGCUGUCACUUAUGGAUGGACCCGCGUCGCAUUAGCUAGUUGGUGAGGUAACGGCUCACCAAGGCAACGAUGCGUAGCCGACCUGAGAGGGUGAUCGGCCACACUGGGACUGAGACACGGCCCAGACUCCUACGGGAGGCAGCAGUAGGGAAUCUUCCGCAAUGGACGAAAGUCUGACGGAGCAACGCCGCGUGAGUGAUGAAGGCUUUCGGGUCGUAAAACUCUGUUGUUAGGGAAGAACAAGUGCUAGUUGAAUAAGCUGGCACCUUGACGGUACCUAACCAGAAAGCCACGGCUAACUACGUGCCAGCAGCCGCGGUAAUACGUAGGUGGCAAGCGUUAUCCGGAAUUAUUGGGCGUAAAGCGCGCGCAGGUGGUUUCUUAAGUCUGAUGUGAAAGCCCACGGCUCAACCGUGGAGGGUCAUUGGAAACUGGGAGACUUGAGUGCAGAAGAGGAAAGUGGAAUUCCAUGUGUAGCGGUGAAAUGCGUAGAGAUAUGGAGGAACACCAGUGGCGAAGGCGACUUUCUGGUCUGUAACUGACACUGAGGCGCGAAAGCGUGGGGAGCAAACAGGAUUAGAUACCC
RNAcentral lists this ribosomal RNA (644 nucleotides) under uncultured bacterium. Its description in RNAcentral is "bacterial SSU rRNA". It matches the Rfam family "Bacterial small subunit ribosomal RNA", at positions 158 to 787 of the family's 1533-position model. The record is from RNAcentral.